AAAGUCGUAACAAGGUCUCCGUUGGUGAACCAGCGGAGGGAUCAUUACAGAGUUGCAAAACUCCCUAAACCAUUUGUGAACCUACCCCUAAAACAGUUUCUUCGGCGGCGCCCUGACCGGCCCGCCGGAGACCACCAAACUCUUUGUUUUUAUACACUGGCCUCUCUGAGUUAUUGUACUGUAAUAAGUCAAAACUUUCAACAACGGAUCUCUUGGUUCUG
Molecule: unclassified non-coding RNA, 221 nt
Filed under: Ascomycota sp.
Lineage: Eukaryota; Fungi; Ascomycota
Description: partial contains small subunit ribosomal RNA, internal transcribed spacer 1, and 5.8S ribosomal RNA
Rfam family: Eukaryotic small subunit ribosomal RNA (bases 1-47)
Source: RNAcentral